Molecule: ribosomal RNA, 651 nt
Filed under: Acinetobacter johnsonii
Lineage: Bacteria; Pseudomonadati; Pseudomonadota; Gammaproteobacteria; Moraxellales; Moraxellaceae
Description: bacterial SSU rRNA
Rfam family: Bacterial small subunit ribosomal RNA
Source: RNAcentral
AACGCCCUCGCGGGAGCAUUAACCAUGCAGUCGAGCGGGGUAAGGCACUUUGCUACCUGACUAGCGGCGGAGGGAGGGGGGUGCAUAGGAUCUGCCUAUUAGUGGGGGAAACAUUAUGUAGGGGGUGCUAAUACCGCAUACGCCCUACGGGGGAAAGCAGGGGAUCUUCGGACCUUGCGCUAAUAGAUUAUGAAAAAUAAGAUUAGCUAGUUGGUGGGGUAAAGGCCUACCAAGGCGACGAUCUGUAGCGGGUCUGAGAGGAUGAUCCGCCACACUGGGACUGAGACACGGCCCAGACUCCUACGGGAGGCAGCAGUGGGGAAUAUUGGACAAUGGGCGAAAGCCUGAUCCAGCCAUGCCGCGUGUGUGAAGAAGGCCUUUUGGUUGUAAAGCACUUUAAGCGAGGAGGAGGCUACUUAGAUUAUUACUCUAGGAUAGUGGACCUUACUCCCAGAAUUUGGGCCGGGUACUCUGUGCCACCAGCCGCGGUAAUACAAGAGGGUGCGAGCGUUAAUCGGAUUUACUGGGCGUAAAGCCGUGCGUAGGCGCCUUUUUAAGUCGCAUUUGAAUCCCUGAGCUUAACUUAGAUUUUCAUUCCAUCUGGGAAAGCCAGAUAAGGAAAGGAUGGAUAUUUCCAUGUGGUAACGGGAA